UAACAAACGGUUUCAUCAGUGGUGUG
This 26-nucleotide non-coding RNA is filed under the name Homo sapiens (human). Lineage: Eukaryota; Metazoa; Chordata; Mammalia; Primates; Hominidae. The record is from RNAcentral.